AUCCUAUUUUCCAUUUCUUCUCCACCGAUUUUUUCAGCCAUUUUUGGGGGGUUUUGAGCUUCAAAAAUUUCAGCAACUUUAAGCCUUCACAAGUCAAGAAAUAUUGAAUCUGAACCUAGACCAGGGGAAGACCAAGCAAAUCGACUUGUCACCACAUUUUGUAAUCCGAAUGCCGCCUAUCUAGCUUAAGGAUCAACGGGAAUCAGAGAUAUCGAUCACACUAUCAAUUGAAGCAUUUGGUAUAGUUUGAUUUAUAUUUUUGAAUAUAGCAUGUAUAGGGAACUAGACUAGUGUUUUGUGUCAUUAUCAAUUUGGCCAAAUGUGUUGGCUUGGGAUAAAUCUCUCAUUGUAUUAAGCCUUGAAUGAUGGCUAAUAAUCAUUUUGAGUUAUAUACAAAGAUGUUAUAUUCAUAGAUGAGUAAAAUGC
This is a long non-coding RNA of Gossypium arboreum, 426 nucleotides long. RefSeq lists it as uncharacterized. The transcript has 3 exons. The record is from RefSeq and is a predicted model, not a curated record. NCBI's taxonomy places the organism in Eukaryota, Viridiplantae, Streptophyta, Magnoliopsida, Malvales, Malvaceae.